Long non-coding RNA from Quercus robur (English oak), 1888 nucleotides. RefSeq lists it as uncharacterized. The record is from RefSeq and is a predicted model, not a curated record. Lineage: Eukaryota; Viridiplantae; Streptophyta; Magnoliopsida; Fagales; Fagaceae. The transcript has 3 exons.
UCUAGCCCCUUCACAUUAGUCUUCUUAACAUUUUCUCUUUCUAAAAAAACCCUGGCGAUACUGUGAUAGAGAGAAAGAGUAGGAAAAAAAAAAAAAAAACUUGCGCCACACUGGAGAUUCGUUUGGCCGACCAUCGCUAUUCCCUUUUGAGUUUUCUAGACUCUGCGAAUCAAUGAAUAUUCGUACGGCCGGCCACCGCCAUACCCCGCCGGACUUAAACCAUCACAAUCGGUAUCCGUCAAAGCUAAAUACGAUCAAACGUCCCAGAGGUUUUGAGAUAUGGAGUUAGAUCGGCGCUAUUCCGACGAAAGGUACAACACGGGUAUUUUGCAAGAAGAGUUGCUGCAUCAAACUAAGUGGUUUGCUUAGCCUGAUUUUCCCUCUAUUUAUCUCAUAACUUGAAUUAAAUUUUCUCUGUUGAUCUGUUUGGUUUUGAUUAGGCUCUGAAUUGCAUAUUUUAAUCUGCUUUUUCCUUCAUUUUUUUUUAAAUUCAAUGAAUUCUUAUUUUGUAUUUUACUGGAUUGUAAAACUGUAAUGACUUUUUUAAAAUGCUAUGCUUUUAGUGGCUUGCAUUUGGUAACUCCACCAUAUUCACAUAGUGGCCUGCAUUUGAUGCUUUCUUCUUGAUUUAUUAUAAUCCAACUUCUUUGUGAGUGGCGUCAUGGGGUUUAGCCCUUGAAUAUAUUUAGGGAAAAACAUGUUUGCCAUUUAAUAAUGGUUGAUUUCUCAAUGUUGCUGCUCUGAGCAUUUAUUAUUUGAAACUACAAAGUCUAAAACCUCUUUAAUGUUUGUGCUAAAAAGUUAUGUUUUCUGUUUGAUUGUAUAUUUGUUUAAAGGAAUGUAUAAUUAUUUUAAAGAAUGAAUGAAUUUUUAUUGGCAGUAAAUUAUGUUUCUUUUUCGUUUAUUGAAUUUGAUUAAAUAACCAACAUAUUGCUUAAAAUAAGCCAAUAAAAUAUUAUGCAAACGUCUUUAAUUCUUGGUUCCACUUGAAUGACCAAAGAACAACAAUAUUUUGCGUACUUCUAUUGAUCCAGUAAUUCACUAAUUGUCUUCGAUUAAUGUUUUACAUUAGUCCAUGGAUCUUGAUUAUUAUGUUUGCUCGGCUUUGCAAUUAAUUUGGCUUAUUUGUUUUAGUUCAAUUUUACUAUUCAGUGUAGCUCAAUGAUUACAUUGUGUUGGUUUUGAAGGAUUUGAAUUUCUAUUAGUGAUGAUUAUGUAGUCAUUAAUUUCAGUUUCAAACCAGGUUUUAUAUUUGGUUUGUGGCCUUUACAUCAUUUAUUCUUUUUUGGUUUUGUUGGUUUUGGUCUUUUGAUUUCAUGGAGAAACAAUUCCAGUAUUUUGUUAUUUACUAAUUUAAUUUGUUAUGAAUAUUAAUGUUUAUGGCAUGGACAAGAAUGGCAGAAUCCUAGAAUCAUUAAAGGCCAUCUAUAAAUUAGAUCGACCUCUACAUAUGCUGAUUAUUUUUGUUAUUUGAAUUUGAAUUAAAAUCCGGAUAUUUAUUCUCUCUCUUUCAAAGUUUUGGCCUCAAAUUAUAAUCUUUGAUUAUUUACUGUCAACAAAGGACUUACCAAUGACUUACUGCUUACUAUUCAAAGGGAGACUUACCAAUGACUUACUGCUUACUAUUCAAAGGGAGACGGAGAGCUAAAAAAGAGAAAGUGUUAUCACUAUUCGAAAUGAUGCAGCAGCUAGCACACUAAGAUCAGAAGGGAAAAUAGCAACUACAAAAUUCAAUUUAGUUUUCAGUUUCUAUUUUCCAUCCUACCUGAUUUGCUGUUUUUGAAGAGUGAUUGAAAUUGUAGAACUUUGAAAUUUGAAAGUGUAAUGUUUUUUAUACAAAGUUGAUUAUCACUUAGAUUUUAGUUAAUAUUCCACUCUAUCUACAUAA